Molecule: ribosomal RNA, 554 nt
Filed under: uncultured bacterium
Lineage: Bacteria
Description: bacterial SSU rRNA
Rfam family: Bacterial small subunit ribosomal RNA
Source: RNAcentral
ACUCCUACGGGAGGCAGCAGUGGGGAAUAUUGCGCAAUGGGCGAAAGCCUGACGCAGCGACGCCGCGUGGGUGAUGAAGGCCUUCGGGUCGUAAAGCCCUGUCGGGAGGGACGAAUUCUCCGCGACCUAACACGUCGUGGACCUGACGGUACCUCCGAAGGAAGCACCGGCUAACUCCGUGCCAGCAGCCGCGGUAAUACGGAGGGUGCGAGCGUUGUUCGGAAUCACUGGGCGUAAAGCGCGUGUAGGCGGCUUCUUAAGUCUGGUGUGAAAGCCCGGGGCUUACCCCCGGAAGGGCACUGGAAACUGGGAAGCUGGAGUACCGGAGAGGAGGGUGGAAUUCCUGGUGUAGCGGUGAAAUGCGUAGAUAUCAGGAGGAACACCGGUGGCGAAGGCGGCCCUCUGGACGGAUACUGACGCUGAGACGCGAAAGCGUGGGGAGCAAACAGGAUUAGAUACCCUGGUAGUCCACGCUGUAAACGAUGGGCACUAGGUGUUCGGGGUAUUGACCCCCUGGGUGCCGCAGCUAACGCAUUAAGUGCCCCGCCUGGGGA